Molecule: ribosomal RNA, 253 nt
Filed under: uncultured bacterium
Lineage: Bacteria
Description: partial 16S ribosomal RNA
Rfam family: Bacterial small subunit ribosomal RNA
Source: RNAcentral
GACGGAGGUGCCGAGCGUUAGGCGGAAUCACUGGGCUUAAAGCGUGUGUAGGCGGGUUGUUAAGUGUCUUGUGAAAUCCCCCGGCUCAACCGGGGAAUGGCUGGGCAUACUGGCGAUCUUGAGCAGUCUAGGGGCAGAUGGAACAAGUGGUGGAGCGGUGAAAUGCGUAGAUAUCACUUGGAACGCCAAAGGUGAAAACAGUCUGCUGGGGACUUGCUGACGCUCAGGUGCGAAAGCCAGGGGAGCGAACGGG